AUUGAACGCUGGCGGCAGGCCUAACACAUGCAAGUCGAACGAGUGGCGGACGGGUGAGUAAUGUAUGGGAAACUGGGUGAUGGAGUGGGAUGAGUACUGGAAACGGUAGCUAAUACCGCUAAACAUCGGGUGUGACCACAUGGGAUUAGCUAGUAGGUGGGGUAAAGGCGCACCAAGGCGACGCUCCAUAGCUGGUCUGAGAGGAUGACCAGCCACACUGGAACUGAGACACGGUCCAGACUCCUACGGGAGGCAGCAGUGGGGAAUAUUGCACAAUGGGCGCAAGCCUGAUGCAGCCACGCCGCGUGUAUGAAGAAGGCCUUCGGGUUGUAAAGUACUUUCAGCGGGGAGGCGUUACCCGCAGAAGAAGCACCGGCUAACUCCGUGCCAGCAGCCGCGGUAAUUC
This 406-nucleotide ribosomal RNA is filed under the name uncultured bacterium. Its description in RNAcentral is "partial 16S ribosomal RNA". It matches the Rfam family "Bacterial small subunit ribosomal RNA", at positions 30 to 526 of the family's 1533-position model. The record is from RNAcentral.